RNAcentral lists this ribosomal RNA (219 nucleotides) under Triticum aestivum (bread wheat). RNAcentral describes it as "partial small subunit ribosomal RNA". Lineage: Eukaryota; Viridiplantae; Streptophyta; Magnoliopsida; Poales; Poaceae. The record is from RNAcentral.
AUGGGUAAAUCAAAGAAAAGGAUUUGCAGUACUGACCUUUAUAUCAUCCGAGUUAACAUAAAUGUGGUUGACACGGAGAUAAGGUUUGUAGCAGAGAUGGCCCUGACACGCCAAUCUGUCUUCGAUGCAAAUGCUGCUUGCUCAUACGGACUGGUCGUCGUGACGAUGAGCUCAUCUCCAUGCACAUUAACUGUCCUCGUUGUCUGUGCAGUUACCUGA